Molecule: ribosomal RNA, 426 nt
Filed under: uncultured bacterium
Lineage: Bacteria
Description: bacterial SSU rRNA
Rfam family: Bacterial small subunit ribosomal RNA
Source: RNAcentral
GGGGAAUUGUUCGCAAUGGGCGCAAGCCUGACGACGCAACGCCGCGUGGAGGACGAAGAUCUUCGGGUCGUAAACUCCUUUCGAUCGGGAAGAACGUUUUCGGGGUGAAUAAUCCCGAGAAGUGACGGUACCGAGAGAAGAAGCCCCGGCUAACUACGUGCCAGCAGCCGCGGUAAUACGUAGGGUGCAAGCGUUAAUCGGAAUUACUGGGCGUAAAGCGUGCGCAGGCGGUUUCGUAAGUCUGUCGUGAAAUCCCCGGGCUUAACCUGGGAAUGGCGAUGGAGACUGCGAGGCUAGAGUUUGGCAGAGGGGGGUAGAAUUCCACGUGUAGCAGUGAAAUGCGUAGAGAUGUGGAGGAACACCGAUGGCGAAGGCAGCCCCCUGGGUCAAAACUGACGCUCAUGCACGAAAGCGUGGGGAGCAAAC